GAUGAAGAACGUAGCGAAAUGCGAUACGUAAUGUGAAUUGCAGAAUUCAGUGAAUCAUCGAGUCUUUGAACGCACAUUGCGCCCCCUGGUAUUCCGGGGGGCAUGCCUGUCCGAGCGUCAUUUCACCACUCAAGCCUCGCUUGGUAUUGGGCAACGCGGUCCGCCGCGUGCCUCAAAUCGACCGGCUGGGUCUUCUGUCCCCUAAGCGUUGUGGAAACUAUUCGCUAAAGGGUGUUCGGGAGGCUACGCCGUAAAACAACCCCAUUUCUAAGGUUGACCUCGGAUCAGGUAGGGAUACCCGCUGAACUUAAGCAUAUCAAUAAGCGGAGGA
This 331-nucleotide unclassified non-coding RNA is filed under the name soil metagenome. Its description in RNAcentral is "partial contains 5.8S ribosomal RNA, internal transcribed spacer 2, and large subunit ribosomal RNA". The stretch from base 1 to 120 matches the Rfam family "5.8S ribosomal RNA", at positions 35 to 154 of the family's 154-position model. The record is from RNAcentral.